UAAAAAAAACAAUUGUAAAAGAAUGGCGCAAAAAGUGUGUAUGAUGAUUAUGAUGGCAUUGAUAAUGGUAGGAUGCCAUCUAAAAGCAUGCAAUGGAAUGGAGAACUUGUCGAAGGAAGACCAUCACUCACUGCCGAUGGAAAUAACUAUUCCGCAACGUCAAAUAGUUCCGGACCCAGUAUGUUUAUGGCACUGUCGCAUCAAAUGUGGCGAUGACUCAGAUUGUGUAAGAAAGUGUGUUAUAAAUUGUUGAUACCCAGUUCUGAAAGUGUAAUGUUCUAUCUCGAGAUUUACAUCUCUUAUGAAAUAAAAAUCAAACAUUAAUAAAAUAUAUUUAAUUAUUGA
Molecule: long non-coding RNA, 345 nt
Organism: Capsella rubella
Lineage: Eukaryota; Viridiplantae; Streptophyta; Magnoliopsida; Brassicales; Brassicaceae
Exons: 2
Source: RefSeq, a predicted model, not a curated record